RNAcentral lists this ribosomal RNA (374 nucleotides) under uncultured organism. Its description in RNAcentral is "partial 16S ribosomal RNA". It matches the Rfam family "Bacterial small subunit ribosomal RNA", at positions 527 to 896 of the family's 1533-position model. The record is from RNAcentral.
GUAGGUGGCAAGCGUUGUCCGGAAUUAUUGGGCGUAAAGCGCGCGCAGGCGGGUUCUUUAAGUCUGAUGUGAAAGCCCACGGGCUCAACCGUGGAGGGUCAUUGGAAACUGGAGAACUUGAGUACAGAAGAGGAAAGCGGAAUUCCACGUGUAGCGGUGAAACGCGUAGAGAUUUGGAGGAACACCAGUGGCGAAGGCGGCUUUCUGGUCUGUAACUGACGCUGAGGCGCGAAAGCGUGGGGAGCAAACAGGAUUAGAUACCCUGGUAGUCCACGCCGUAAACGAUGAGUGCUAAGUGUUAGGGGGUUUCCGCCCCUUAGUGCUGCAGCUAACGCAUUAAGCACUCCGCCUGGGGAGUACGGCCGCAAAGGCUG